AUGAACGCUAGCGGCAGGCCUAACACAUGCAAGUCGAGGGGCAUCACGGAUUGCUUGCAAUCUGGUGGCGACCGGCGCACGGGUGCGUAACGCGUAUACAACCUACCUUUUGGAGGGGAAUAGCCCAGAGAAAUUUGGAUUAAUACCCCAUAGUAUAUAGGAAUCUCCUGAUUUUUAUAUUAAACAUUUAUGGCCAUUAGAUGGGUAUGCGUCCUAUUAGCUAGUUGGUGUGGUAACGGCACACCAAGGCUACGAUAGGUAGGGGUCCUGAGAGGGAGAUCCCCACACUGGUACUGAGACACGGACCAGACUCCUACGGGAGGCAGCAGUGAGGAAUAUUGGACAAUGGGCGAGAGCCUGAUCCAGCCAUGCCGCGUGCAGGAAGACUGCCCUAUGGGUUGUAAACUGCUUUUACAGAGGAAGAACCACCCCCACGUGUGGGGGUUUGACGGUACUCUGCGAAUAAGGAUCGGCUAACUCCGUG
RNAcentral lists this ribosomal RNA (484 nucleotides) under uncultured bacterium. RNAcentral describes it as "bacterial SSU rRNA". It matches the Rfam family "Bacterial small subunit ribosomal RNA", at positions 29 to 507 of the family's 1533-position model. The record is from RNAcentral.